GAACAAAAGAAAAUGUGGACACUGAGGAAACACAGUUACCAGCCUCAUACAAAUAUAAAGACGUUUGUCGGGGCUGACCUUAAGAUGCCUGUACGUGACUGCAGCCACUCUGGUCUCUGAAACAAUGUCAGGACAGGGUGAGAGAAGAACUGCAUCUGAAAUGAGUCACUCCAAGAAGCAUUCUGACACUGAAAGUGUCACAGAGAAGAGACCAGAGUCACCUACACAGAGCUGUGGGUCCAUGGAGAGUGAUGCGUCAAAGGACUUCAACCCACCCAACUUCAGAGAGGGAGAGCUGCCCCCUGAGCAAAGGUAUUUUGAGCUACUCCUACUAUCUCAUCCCCACAUUAAUGUAUGUUCUUCACAGGGCUGGUCCUAUUCUGACUGCAUGUUCAAAA
Molecule: long non-coding RNA, 398 nt
Organism: Clupea harengus (Atlantic herring)
Lineage: Eukaryota; Metazoa; Chordata; Actinopteri; Clupeiformes; Clupeidae
Source: Ensembl